Molecule: long non-coding RNA, 99 nt
Organism: Melanotaenia boesemani (Boeseman's rainbowfish)
Lineage: Eukaryota; Metazoa; Chordata; Actinopteri; Atheriniformes; Melanotaeniidae
Exons: 3
Source: RefSeq, a predicted model, not a curated record
UGCAGAGAACAUUGUGGAUAAGCACCGUAAGCAUCUGGGUGCUUCGGUUUAGUUUAAUUUCACUCUUCAGAGAUGCAUUUAUGAUGUUUGGGAUGACUU